Molecule: ribosomal RNA, 356 nt
Filed under: Paromola japonica
Lineage: Eukaryota; Metazoa; Arthropoda; Malacostraca; Decapoda; Homolidae
Description: eukaryotic LSU rRNA
Rfam family: Eukaryotic large subunit ribosomal RNA
Source: RNAcentral
UUAAUAAGCGGAGGAAAAGAAACCAACAGGGAUUCCCUUAGUAAGGGCGACUGAACUGGGAAAAGCCCAGCGCAUAACCUCGCGUCCUCACCNNGGCGCGAGGGGUGUUGCGUUUCGGAGGGUCCGGCACGCCGUCUCAUACCGCCUAAGUCAUGCUUGAAAGCGGCCACUACCCAUGGAGGGUGACAGGCCCGUAUGGCGGAGCCCGCGAGGGUACAGAUGAGACGGUCGGAAAGGGCCUCUCUGUAGAGUCGGGUUGCUUGAUAAUGCAGCCCAAAGCAGGUGGUAAACUCCAUCUAAGGCUAAAUAUGACCACGAGACCGAUAGCGAACAAGUACCGUGAGGGAAAGUUGAAA